Molecule: ribosomal RNA, 479 nt
Filed under: Morganella morganii
Lineage: Bacteria; Pseudomonadati; Pseudomonadota; Gammaproteobacteria; Enterobacterales; Morganellaceae
Description: bacterial SSU rRNA
Rfam family: Bacterial small subunit ribosomal RNA
Source: RNAcentral
CGGUGGAGCAGUGGUUUAUUCGAUGCAACGCGAAGAACCUUACCUACUCUUGACAUCCAGAGAACUUGGCAGAGAUGCUUUGGUGCCUUCGGGAACUCUGAGACAGGUGCUGCAUGGCUGUCGUCAGCUCGUGUUGUGAAAUGUUGGGUUAAGUCCCGCAACGAGCGCAACCCUUAUCCUUUGUUGCCAGCGCGUAAUGGCGGGAACUCAAAGGAGACUGCCGGUGAUAAACCGGAGGAAGGUGGGGAUGACGUCAAGUCAUCAUGGCCCUUACGAGUAGGGCUACACACGUGCUACAAUGGCGUAUACAAAGGGAAGCGACCCCGCGAGGGCAAGCGGAACUCAUAAAGUACGUCGUAGUCCGGAUUGGAGUCUGCAACUCGACUCCAUGAAGUCGGAAUCGCUAGUAAUCGUAGAUCAGAAUGCUACGGUGAAUACGUUCCCGGGCCUUGUACACACCGCCCGUCACACCAUGGGAG